AAUCUAUCCUUGGUUUCUCUUUCGUUUUGUUUCUCUUGGUAAUGAAUCUUGGGUUCGGUGGCCUGGCUGUGAUGCGUAUUGAUAAGGGAUUUUCUGAGGGAUGGAGACCUAGUUUUCCUCCUCCUGAUUGAGAGAAACCAAUGGAUCCUUCUGAGCCUACCAAAACCAACCCUGCGAGUUCUUUUUUUAUUUUUGUUUGCUCUUGUACACUUUGUGAACUGUUCAUUUUUGUUCUUUGAUUUUUUCUCUCUUCCUUUUGCUGUCUUCUGGUGAACUGUAAUACAAGCUAGUGCAAGAUCUGCUCUCAGUUGAUGUGAGGAUAAAACUUUCACAGAAACUCUUUUGAUGUGUUGACCCUAAAAUUCAGACUACAAUUAUCUGAUCAGCUGCAGAAACUUGCCCUACGAAAAAAAAAAGAUCUCAGUUUUUCCCACCAGAUCCAGUUGUUUUCCUUGUUCGUCAUGACUUAGAUUUGGUAUUUAAUUGCUAAUCCUUGCACAAUAAGCCGAUGCUCUGGACGAAAUAAGAGGAAGGAAGCAUGGUAGUGUGCACGGAGAUUCACCACAAGGUCUGCAUGUCUGCCUGCAGUGACGCCUUCGGGCUUUGAUCUCGCGGGCCUGGAUUUGACCCACAUUUUCCUAUCUGAAUUUUGCUUCCG
This 658-nucleotide small RNA is filed under the name Oryza sativa Japonica Group (Japanese rice). The record is from RNAcentral. Lineage: Eukaryota; Viridiplantae; Streptophyta; Magnoliopsida; Poales; Poaceae.